CGCAAACCCAGCCAGGCCGGGAAGGGAGCGUGGCAGCCGAC
Molecule: non-coding RNA, 41 nt
Filed under: uncultured eukaryote
Lineage: Eukaryota
Source: RNAcentral